UACAGAGACUGCAAGCGUUAUUCGGAUUCACUGGGCGUAAAGGGUGCGCAGGCGGCCAAGUGUGUUAGGCGUGAAAGCCCGGGGCUUAACCCCGGAAUUGCACCUAAAACUACAUGGCUAGAGCAUUGGAGAGGGUAGCGGAAUUCACGGUGUAGCAGUGAAAUGCGUAGAUAUCGUGAGGAACACCAGUGGCGAAGGCGACUACCUGGCCUGUUCUUGACGCUGAGGCGCGAAAGCUAGGGGAGCAAACAGG
Molecule: ribosomal RNA, 253 nt
Filed under: uncultured bacterium
Lineage: Bacteria
Description: partial 16S ribosomal RNA
Rfam family: Bacterial small subunit ribosomal RNA
Source: RNAcentral